CUGUCUGUCCAGUUGGGAGGAGAGUAGAGCAGGACCAAGAGGUGUUCUGUACCUGUCUGUCCAGGAGGGAGGAGAGUAGAGCAGGACCAAGAGGUGUUCUGUACCUGUCUGUCCAGGAGGGAGGAGAGUAGAGCAGGACCAAGAGGUGUUCUGUACCUGUCUGUCCAGGAGGGAGGAGAGUAGAGCAGGACCAAGAGGUGUUCUGUACCUGUCUGUCCAGUAGGGAGGAGAGUAGAGCAGGACCAAGAGGUGUUCUGUACCUGUCUGUCCAGGAGGGAGGAGAGUAGAGCAGGACCAAGAGGUGUUCUGUACCUGUCUGUCCAGGAGGGAGGAGAGUAGAGCAGGACCAAGAUGUGUUCUGUACCUGUCUGUCCAGGAGGGAGGAGAGUAGAGCAGGACCAAGAGGUGUUCUGUACCUGUCUGUCCAGGAGGGAGGAGAGUAGAGCAGGACCAAGAGGUGUUCUGUACCUGUCUGUCCAGUUGGGAGGAGAGUAGAGCAGGACCAAGAGGUGUUCUGUACCUGUCUGUCCAGGAGGGAGGAGA
Oncorhynchus nerka (sockeye salmon) is the source of this 543-nucleotide long non-coding RNA. RefSeq lists it as uncharacterized. Lineage: Eukaryota; Metazoa; Chordata; Actinopteri; Salmoniformes; Salmonidae. The record is from RefSeq and is a predicted model, not a curated record. The transcript has 2 exons.